Molecule: ribosomal RNA, 438 nt
Filed under: Triticum aestivum (bread wheat)
Lineage: Eukaryota; Viridiplantae; Streptophyta; Magnoliopsida; Poales; Poaceae
Description: partial small subunit ribosomal RNA
Source: RNAcentral
AUGACCAGAGACAAUCUGAGGAAAAGGCACAUCAUUAAACCCCUUGAUUGUGUCUUCUGCACUGAUAAAGAAACCAACUCUCACUUGUUUUUUGAUUGCAUUGUAGCAAAAAACAUCUGAUCAUUUGUGACUGACCACUUCCAGGUCCAGAUAGGAACAAGGUUUGGAUCUGUAGCCGAAUUCUGAAUCUCUAACAAGAAGAAUGUUGCUUUAAAUAUAGUUUCUUCAGCAGUCCUGUGGUGUUUGUGGAAGUAUAGGAACUCUAUCAUCUUUAACAACACCAUUUGGACUUCGAUUUCACAGGUGUGGAGACUAAUCCUCAGACCCCUCAAGUUUUGGGCGAUCUUGGCCCCAAAGGGUGGCAGGGCUCGUCUGGAGGUUUUCCUGACAGCGCUAACAGCCCUCUCGCAGCAACCACUGAGAAUAACGAGUGGCUGA